UUGCUACUGUGGCUGCUGGCACCUAUCCUUUGCGACUACCGUCAGGAUAUGUUUUAUUACUUAAAGACUGCAAUUAUGUACCUCCUGCUAGCAGAAAUUUGAUUUCUGCACAGGAUGGUUUAAUUUUGACAAAAACUACUGCAUAAUUUAUUUUAGAAAUAAAAUUAUUGGCCGUGGUUUUAUAAUUGACAGUCUUUAUCAUUUACAUAUGGAUGUAUCUACAAAUAUUUCUGAGCAAGUAGUGACUGCUGUUGGGUCUAAGAGACCUAGAGAUGAGAUGAACCUAAAGUAUAUGUGGCACCUCAGGCUUGGUCAUAUUGAAGAAGAAAGGAUCAAUAAAUUGGAUAAAGAUGGGCUUCUCGGCCCAUUGACUUCAGAGUCUUAUCCAGUUUGUGAAUCUUGUCUUCAAGGAAAAUUGACUAAAUUACCCUUUGUAGGACAAGGGGAAAGGGCCACUGAGAUACUUUCCUUGAUACACACUGAUGUGUGUGGGCCAUUUGAUGUGCAUGCUAGGGGAGGUUAUCUCUACUUCAUAACAUUUACCGAUGAUUAUUCACGGUAUGGGUAUGUGUAUCUUGUAAAACACAAGUCUGAGAAUUUUGAAAAGUUCAAAGAAUUCAGAUAUGAAGUAGAAAAACAAACUGAAAAAUCCAUCAAGGUUCUUCGAUCAGAUCGAGGAGGAGAAUACCUUAGUGGAGAGUUCCUAAAUUAUCUCAAAGAAAACGGCAUAGUCUCACAGUGGACUCCUCCGGGAACACCUCAACUCAACGGGGUGUCAGAACGGAGAAACCGAACCUUAUUGGAUAUGGUUCGAUCUAUGAUGAGCUUCACUGAUCUUCCUUUAUUUCUUUGGGGACAUGCUUUGCUUACCGCAGCUUAUUUGUUAAAUAGGGUUCCCUCUAAAUCCGUUCCUACCACGCCGUAUGAGAUGUGGCAUGGUAAGAAACCAAGUCUUGGUCAUAUCAAGAUUUGGGGAUGUCCGGCCUAUGUUAAGCGACUACAGGUGGACAAGUUAGAGGCUAGGUCUGAGAGGGCUCGUUUUAUUGGAUAUCCUAAAGAAACUUUAGGUUACUAUUUUUAUAUCCCAGAGAAUCACAAUAUAGUUGUGAGCAAACAUGCUAUUUUCUUGGAAAAACAGUUUAUUCAAGAAGCUAGUGGGAGAAAAAUUGAGCUCGAAGAGAGAGUCUCUGAAGAGCAACGAGUCAUCAAACCUACAGAACCUAUUCAAGCUGAGCCAGUACAUGUAGUACCUCCUCCACCUCGUAGGUCGAGUAGAAUCUCCCAUCCCACUAAAAGAUACUUAGGUAUCGUUACAGAGGAAGUAGAGGAAAUGUUCCUCAUGGGAGAUAGGGAACAUGGAGAUGAUCCCAAAACCUACAACGAGGCGAUGUCUGACAUCGAUUCCGAGAAAUGGCUGGAUGCCAUGAAGUCAGAAAUUGACUCAAUGCAUUCCAACCAGGUUUGGAUUUUGGUAGACCCACCAGAAGGUAUAGUACCUAUCGGGUGUAAAUGGAUCUACAAAAGAAAGAUAGGUUCGGAUGGAAAGGUAGAGACCUAUAAAGCAAGGCUGGUUGCAAAAGGUUAUAGUCAACGCGAAGGCAUUGACUAUCAGGAGACCUUUUCACCUGUGGCCAUGCUUAAAUCCAUUCGAACACUGCUUGCCCUUGCAGCAUACUAUGAUUAUGAGAUCUGGCAAAUGGAUGUGAAAACUGCCUUCCUAAAUGGAUAUCUUGAGGAAGAUAUCUAUAUGGAGCAGCCUUUGGGUUUCACUUCCGGUGACGAAAGUCACAAAGUAUGCAAGUUGCAACGGUCCAUUUAUGGACUUAAGCAAGCAUCUCGGACUUGGAAUACUCGUUUCGAUAACGUGAUUAAAUCGUUUGAUUUCGUUAAGAAUGAGGAGGAACCAUGUGUUUAUAAGAAGGUCAGUGGGAGAGCUGUCACAUUCCUCGUAUUGUACGUGGAUGACAUUCUCCUAAUUGGGAAUGACAUUCCAAUGCUGACUUCAGUUAAAAUAUGGUUGUCUAAAGAAUUCUCCAUGAAAGAUCUAGGGGAAGCAUCCUAUAUUUUGGGGAUAAAGGUCUAUAGAGAUAGAUCUAAAAGGAUGCUAGGCCUCUCACAGAAAAUGUACAUAGAAGAGGUGCUGAAGAGGUUCGGCAUGGAAAACUCCAAAAGGGGACUUUUACCUCUUAGACAUGGAAUUUAUCUCUCUAAGAAAAUGUGCCCCAAUACAUUUGAAGAGAUUCAACGUAUGAGUAAGAUCCCUUAUGCAUCAGCUAUAGGGAGUCUUAUGUAUGCCAUGCUAUGUACAAGACCUGAUAUCGCGCUUGCUGUGAGUGUCACAAGUAGAUAUCAAUCUAAUCCAGGUGAGGAGCACUGGAUUGCUGUGAAGAACAUACUCAAAUACUUGAGAAGGACUAAGGAUAUGUUCUUGGUCUUUGGAGGAGGAGAGUUGAAAUUACAAGGAUAUACUGAUUCAGACUUUAUGUCUGAUGUUGACGAUAGAAAGUCUACGUCAGGAUGUGUGUUCUUAUGCAAUGGUGGCUCUGUGUAUUGGAAGAGUUCCAAACAACCAAUUAUUGCUGACUCUACUAUGGAAGCAGAAUAUAUCGCCGCAUCUGAAGCUGCAAAGGAAGCCUUCUGGUUCAAGAAAUUUGUCGCAGAACUAGGUGUGAUGCCAUCGGAUGCCAUACCACUAUAUUGCGACAACAAUGGCGCCAUAGCCCUAGCUAAGGAGCCCAGGUCUCAUCAGAAGUCCAAGCACAUAGAGCGGCGGUUUCAUAUUAUACGCGACUACCUCGACAAGAAAUACAUUGAGAUGCAGAGAGUAGACUCCACGGAUAACGUGGCAGACCCAUUGACUAAACCACUUAGCCAGCAGAAGACUGAAGUCCACCUUGAGAAGAUGGGGCUUAGGUAUAUGGCUGAUUGGCUUUAGUGCAAGUGGGAGAUUGUUAGAUGUAUGCCCUAGAAGCCAACCAGGCCGACACAUGUAUUCUUUCUAGGACAUAAUUUUGUAUUUGAUUUUAAAAUAUUAUGAAUAACUUUGGGUUUUUAUUUCCAUUCAUGUUGUGUAUGUGUCCAUGAAUCGUCCAAGGAAUUAAUAAGAUGAUGACAUAUAUUCUCAAGUGUUGAGAAUUUGAGACAUGUGUCAUUGGUGAUUAAUUCCUAAAUGCUCCCGAUCAAUGGAUCAUCACGGGGACGGUGAUUGAUCCGAUGAGAUUGGUGCAUAGGUCGCUUCCCUUUUGGGUAGACGAGUCUCGAGUCGACAGUGUGGGGACACUGAAGCGAAUAUGCAGGUGGUUGUUAGAGAACAAGGGUACCGAGCGUGACCAACGCGAGAAGUCACUUGGAUGUCUACUCACUCGUCAGUGACUUACUCAAUUGUUGCAGUAGUGUGACUGGUCCUUUGACCUGCGGUGCCUCGGCUAUUCACAAUGAGGUUACUGUAGUUUGACUGUACAUACACUUGGUCCCUAGCCAUUCGGGUCCUUGCGGUGCAUGUUGGCUGCAGUAGGUUCAUUGUAGGAAUAGGGUGCGCACUCAGAUGGAAUCUAUCUCCCUUGGUAGAUAGGGGUGUUAGUCCUAUGUGAUUUAUGAGACCGAGUUUAGAAGACCUUGGCCAGGGCAGAAUAAAUAGCGGAAAAGGGUUUCCGAUAUUAGAAACUCGAGUCGAAUAAAUUUAACAUAUGACAGACGAUGGGGUUUGACGAGUUAUUCCAUAACCUCCGUCUAGUCGGGACUCAUGAUAGAAGGAUUGUAUCACACGGUAACUGCACCAAGAGGUUCAGUAUUCCAUUCUACUGGAAUGCCACUACAUGCUGCUAGGCGUCACUGGUGGAUUGUGAGACUCAUGAGAAUUAUCUAGAUGAUCGAUAAUUCUCAUUGGGCUGAGUUGGAAUUGUUCCGAUCCACUGAAAGGAGUUUCAGUGAUAUUGUUGAUAGUGAUCAAAAUAUAUCUCACUACCAGAUAGAAUAGAACCUAUGGGGUCACACACAUAAGAGGUUGUGAUUGAUCGGAUAGCUAGAUCGCGAUUAUUGAAUCGCCGGAGGACCUAAUUGUCAAUAUGUUGAUAAUUGGACUAAUUUGUAAUUGUUACAAAUUAGUGGUAUUAAAGUGUAAAUGUUACAAGAGAGGACUUACUAAUAGUUAGUAAAUUAUAAGAGGACUUAUGUGCAAAUGUUGCAUUAUUAAUUUGAUAAGAUCAAAUUAAUAUAAAAUUCAAGUCGAAUCAAAUUAGGAUUUGAUCGAUCUAACCAAUUAAGGAAAAGAUAAAUUUAAAUCUAGAUUUAUACUUAUCCUUAAUUGUCAUUAUAUUAUUAGGAAUAGGAUUAUAUUCCUAUAUAUAAUAUACGGGAGUUUUUAGAAAACCCUAGCCGUCAUCUAUCCUCUCUUCUCUCUUCCAUCUUCUAGCAAGAAAGACGUCCUUUUGCAAGGGAGCUAGCACCCCGGUGAGGACAUCGAUCAAAUCAAGAACCUCGUGUGGAUACCUAUAGAGGCCGGACGCGUGUGCGGCUUCAAGAGAACCCGAUUCCACGAUCAUCAAAUUGAGGCAAGGAUUUAUCCGCGAAAAAGGUAAUGAUUCGAUCUUACUUUUCUCCUUUAAUCUUAAAGAACAUGAGGGAUCCUAAUUGCGUGGUUUUUGAGAUUAGAUCUCGAGAGUUUUCAAAAAUCAAAUUUGUUUGAUUUCUUUUUCCGCUGCGUUUUUACCGUACGCAAUUUUCUAACAGUGGUAUCAGAGCCAUCCUCAUGUUUUUAAGAUUAAAAUUAUGAUUUUGGGUAUUCUAAACCGUUUUUCGCCGAUCGAACGAUUUAUAGAUCGUUGUUUGGAUGAUUCGUAAAAUCAAAUUGAUCGAACAAUUUAAUCCACGGUUUCUCGUUUUCAAAAACAAAAACAACAAAAAAUAAAAAAAAAUAAAAAAAAUAAAAAUACUGUAGCACCGUACGGAUGCACUGUAGCAGUCCGUACGGAUUUUACUGUAGCAGUCCGUACGGACGCUACUGUAGCAUCCGUACGGAAAUCAAAAAAAUUUUUUUUUUUCUAACCCAAAAGAAAAGGAUCUAAUUUGAUUAGAUCAAAUUUAAAUUUUGAUGAGAUCAAAUUGUUUUUGAAGAUUAAAUUUUUGAUCAAAAUUAUAAAGAUCAAUAAGAUUGAUUGUUAUUAGUGAUUAAGUCACUAUUAUUUUUCGAAUCAUCUUUUAACGGUUAAUUAGAAUAUCCAAAUUUAUUAUUAUAUGUGUGAUGUAUGAGAUACAUAUCGGUGAUGAUCAUGGAUAGCGACCUAUUUAUAUUUCGACAUGUGAUGUAUGAUGUGUAUGCAGAAUCCUGUAAUUUUAAAUUUGUUUAAAUUAAGGACUUUGUAUUAGAGAUGGCUAUAUUUGUGCCUGCGUGCACAAGCCGAUUUAUUUGGAGAUCUGCGUGUCUCAAUAGGUUAGAGAUAAAAGUUAUCAAAUGUAAUUAAUUUUUUUUUAUUUCACUUUUAUUAUUGGGUUGUAUAAUGUAUGGUUGCACGUCACUGGUUGAUCGGUUGCAAGCCUAAAAGUUCGCAAGGCCCGGAUAGAGAUGAAUACUUGAUGGCGGUCGGAUCAAGCUGUUGAUAAGGAUCAAAUCAAGUUGAAGCUCCAGAUCGGAUCAAGAAGUUGAAGACGAUCAAACCAAUGACGUGUGUGUGCUUGUAAUUUAUGACCCUAAGACCCCGAUUCCGACUCAGUGGCUCGAGUCCGAAUCCACUUCUAAGAUCCAUGAUCAUCACCAGUUUAAUUAUGUUUGUUUGCGCGGAUUGAUUUUUUAUUUUAUUUGCAUUAGAUGUAAAUAAAUAAAAUAUUUUUUGAGACCUAAAUAAAUCUCCUCAUAAAUAUUAAGUCGAGCGGUCUUCCGCCGUUGUAGAAGUGCGGGCGCUUUUCUGGUGUUGAUUGGCACGGCUGGUUACAGUGGUCAGUUGCAUCGGGAAUUCGCAACCACUCUAUUAGCAUGAGAUGCUGCGGAGUAAAGAUGGGGUUGGGCCCAAUAACUGUCAGGUGAGGGACCCAAUGACGGCUUUGCUUACGCGUUUGAACGGUGGGUCUGACUUAACUAAGGAAUGGGGCCAAUAACUGUCAGGUGAGGCCUACAGGACUUAGAGACCGAUCACUGCAAUUUGCUUGAGAAGCAUUGGACAAGAGUUGUCCACUCAUCGGUUUGCAUAUCACCAAUAACUGUUAGGUGAGGUGGUACGUUAAAUUGGUGGGACCGCAGUACCCACUUGAAACCUUUUGUCGCGUUGGGUUUCCGUUUCUCUACCCGAGGAGUGUAAGAGACUCGAGAAAAUAGUGGGAGGCUAAAUUUGUUUUUAAAAUCCCUAAAACAAUUUUUCAAAACAAAUACAAAUAUCUAACUUGAAUCUUUACUCUCUGCAAAGUAAAUGUCUGCUUCCAAUUAUCUCUCUCGUAUUCUCGACACAAAAUCCUUAACUGAAAUUAAUUAUAAAGACUGGCUAAGGAAUUUAAAAAUAGUUUUAAAUUCCAAUAAGCUCUGCAUUGUUCUCGACCAGGUAAACCUCACGUUGCCAAACCGUCCAAUAACUAACAGAAGGGCAGUCCGUUCAUGAUCAUUGUUUGACAAUGAUCAUAGACCUCGAGGAGCUUGAGAAGCUUGGCGUAAAAUGGAUAAGGAAUUGCAAGUUGAUCUGAUCCUGCAAUCCCUUCCUGUAUCAUAUGGACAGUUUAUUGUAAACUACCAUAUGAAUAAAAUUGACUGCACCAAUGCAGAGUUAUUGAACAUGUUGGUAAUAAUAGAGGGGACUUUUGAAAAGUUCAAAGGGAACGGUUCACGUUGUGGAGCGAGCUUCCUCUUCUAAAAGAAAGUCUAAUUGGAAGAAGAAACCCGCGAAGAAACAAAAGACGGAAAACAAGCCCAAGAAGGAAGCUCCUAAGAAAAGGGCCGCUAAUAAAGGAAAAUGUUUCCACUGCAAUGUUGACGGUCAUUGUGAGAGGAACUGUCCUUUCUACCUGGAGAGCCUAAAGAAUAAGAGGAAGGACACACCUUCGGAAGGUAUGUCAGACUUGCUCGUAAUAGAAACUAACGGUUUCCUCUACUUCCAGAAAGAGAAAGUAGAGGGCUUAGGGAAGGUGAAGUGACCCUACGGGUAGGCAACGGGGCAAGAGUUGCUACUGUGGCUGCUGGCACCUAUCCUUUGCGACUACCGUCAGGAUAUGUUUUAUUACUUAAAGACUGCAAUUAUGUACCUCCUGCUAGCAGAAAUUUGAUUUCUGCACAGGAUGGUUUAAUUUUGACAAAAACUACUGCAUAAUUUAUUUUAGAAAUAAAAUUAUUGGCCGUGGUUUUAUAAUUGACAGUCUUUAUCAUUUACAUAUGGAUGUAUCUACAAAUAUUUCUGAGCAAGUAGUGACUGCUGUUGGGUCUAAGAGACCUAGAGAUGAGAUGA
Molecule: long non-coding RNA, 7421 nt
Filed under: Ananas comosus (pineapple)
Lineage: Eukaryota; Viridiplantae; Streptophyta; Magnoliopsida; Poales; Bromeliaceae
Description: long non-coding RNA (ACOM_LNC030858)
Source: RNAcentral